This 175-nucleotide non-coding RNA is filed under the name Paenibacillus tuaregi. The record is from RNAcentral. Lineage: Bacteria; Bacillati; Bacillota; Bacilli; Caryophanales; Paenibacillaceae.
GGUGUCUUAAGCCAGACGGUUUAAGACUUAAUAGGGAAGUCCGGUGUAAACCCGGCGCGGUCCCGCCACUGUAACAGGGGAGUCAAAUACAAUUGUUGCCACUGGCUUAUACCAUGAAGCUGGGAAGGUUUGUAUUUGAUGCUGAUCCUGAGAGCCAGGAGACCUGCCUAUUCUA